AAGAUAGAAGACGAUGAUCUCAUCUCUCAGAUCCUUGCUGGAUUGGAUACAGAAUAGAAUCCGUUUGUCUCAUCCAUUGGUGCCAGAACCGAUGCCUAUUCCUUGAGCAAAAUUUAUGCUCAGGUUCUUGCGUUUGAAG
This 139-nucleotide small nucleolar RNA is filed under the name Triticum aestivum (bread wheat). RNAcentral describes it as "Small nucleolar RNA Z247". It matches the Rfam family "Small nucleolar RNA Z247". Rfam says of the family: Z247 is a member of the C/D class of snoRNA which contain the C (UGAUGA) and D (CUGA) box motifs. Most of the members of the box C/D family function in directing site-specific 2'-O-methylation of substrate RNAs. Lineage: Eukaryota; Viridiplantae; Streptophyta; Magnoliopsida; Poales; Poaceae. The record is from Rfam by way of RNAcentral.